GCCGUUGUAGCUCAGUUGGUAGAGCAACUCCAUGGUAAGGAGUAGGUCGCCGGUUCAACUCCGGCCAACGGCUCCA
This 76-nucleotide transfer RNA is filed under the name Patescibacteria group bacterium. RNAcentral describes it as "tRNA-Thr". It matches the Rfam family "tRNA". Rfam says of the family: Transfer RNA (tRNA) molecules are approximately 80 nucleotides in length. The record is from RNAcentral.